RNAcentral lists this transfer RNA (76 nucleotides) under Candidatus Glassiibacteriota bacterium. RNAcentral describes it as "Candidatus Glassbacteria bacterium tRNA-Thr". It matches the Rfam family "tRNA". Rfam says of the family: Transfer RNA (tRNA) molecules are approximately 80 nucleotides in length. Their secondary structure includes four short double-helical elements and three loops (D, anti-codon, and T loops). Further hydrogen bonds mediate the characteristic L-shaped molecular structure. tRNAs have two regions of fundamental functional importance: the anti-codon, which is responsible for specific mRNA codon recognition, and the 3' end, to which the tRNAs corresponding amino acid is attached (by aminoacyl-tRNA synthetases). tRNAs cope with the degeneracy of the genetic code in two manners: having more than one tRNA (with a specific anti-codon) for a particular amino acid; and 'wobble' base-pairing, i.e. permitting non-standard base-pairing at the 3rd anti-codon position. Lineage: Bacteria; Candidatus Glassiibacteriota. The record is from RNAcentral. RNAcentral also lists the same sequence under 1 other name.
GCCGGAUUAGCUCAGUUGGCAGAGCGGCUGAUUUGUAAUCAGCAGGUCGUGGGUUCGAUUCCUGCAUCCGGCACCA